RNAcentral lists this ribosomal RNA (813 nucleotides) under uncultured organism. RNAcentral describes it as "SSU rRNA". It matches the Rfam family "Bacterial small subunit ribosomal RNA", at positions 28 to 810 of the family's 1533-position model. The record is from RNAcentral.
GACGAACGCUGGCGGCGUGCCUAAUACAUGCAAGUUGAGCGCGGGAAGCUUGCGGAGUCCUUCGGGAGGAAGUGAGCGGACCGAGCGGCGGACGGGUGAGUAACACGUGGGCAACCUGCCCGUAAGACGGGGAUAACCCCGGGAAACCGGGGCUAAUACCGGAUAGGUGACCUUUCUGCAUGGAGGGGUCAUGAAAGGCGGCGGAAGCCGUCGCUUACGGAGGGGCCCGCGGCGCAUUAGCUAGUUGGUGAGGGAAGGGCUCACCGCUGCGACUAUGCGUAGCCGGCCUGAGAGGGUGAACGGCCACCCUGGGACUGAGACACGGCCCAGACUCCUACGGGAGGCAGCAGUAGGGAAUCUUCCGCAAUGGACGGAAGUCUGACGGAGCAACGCCGCGUGAGUGAGGAAGGCCUUCGGGUCGUAAAGCUCUGUUGUUCGUGAAGAAGGGGUUGGCCAGGAAAUGGGCCGACAUUGACGGUAGCGAACCAGAAAGCCCCGGCUAACUACGUGCCAGCAGCCGCGGUAACACGUAGGGGGCAAGCGUUGUCCGGAAUGAUUGGGCGUAAAGGGCGCGCAGGCGGCCUCUUAAGUCUGAUGUGAAAGCCCACGGCUCAACCGUGGAGGGACAUUGGAAACUGGGGGGCUUGAGUGCAGGAGAGGGGAGUGGAAUUCCACGUGUGGCGGUGAAAUGCGCAGAGAUGUGGAGGAACACCAGUGGCGAAGGCGGCUCUCUGGCCUGUGACUGACGCUGAGGCGCGAAAGCGUGGGGAGCGAACAGGAUUAGAUACCCUGGUAGUCCACGCCGUAAACGAU